This 465-nucleotide ribosomal RNA is filed under the name uncultured bacterium. RNAcentral's name for it is "partial 16S ribosomal RNA". It matches the Rfam family "Bacterial small subunit ribosomal RNA", at positions 338 to 795 of the family's 1533-position model. The record is from RNAcentral.
CCUACGGGAGGCAGCAGUGGGGAAUUUUGCGCAAUGCUCGUAAGAGUGACGCAGCGACGCCGCGUGAGGGAUGAAGGUUUUCGGAUCGUAAACCUCUGUCAGGAGGGAAGAAAGCGCAUGGCGCCAAUCAGCCAUGCGUUGACGGUACCUCCAAAGGAAGCGCCGGCUAACUCCGUGCCAGCAGCCGCGGUAAUACGGAGGGCGCGAGCGUUAAUCGGAAUUACUGGGCGUAAAGCGCGCGUAGGCUGUUGUGUAAGUUGGGGGUGAAAUCCCACGGCUCAACCGUGGAACAGCCCUUGAUCCUGGAGGACUUGAAUCCGUGCGAGGGUGGCGGAAUUCCAGGUGUAGGAGUGAAAUCCGUAGAUAUCUGGAGGAACAUCAGUGGCGAAGGCGGCCACCUGGACCGGUAUUGACGCUGAGGCGCGAAAGCGUGGGGAGCAAACAGGAUUAGAUACCCUUGUAGUC